AAGCGGUGGAGCAUGUGGUUUAAUUCGACGCAACGCGAAGAACCUUACCAGGGCUCGACAUCCCCUGACCGCGUAUGAAAGUACGUUUUCACCUCGGGUGACAGGGAGACAGGUGGUGCAUGGUUGUCGUCAGCUCGUGUCGUGAGAUGUUGGGUUAAGUCCCGCAACGAGCGCAACCCUCGACCUUAGUUGCCAGCAUUCAGUUGGGCACUCUAAGGUGACUGCCGGCUAAAAGUCGGAGGAAGGUGGGGAUGACGUCAAAUCAUCAUGCCCCUUAUGACCUGGGCUACACACGUGCUACAAUGGGCGGUACAAAGGGUCGCGAACCCGCGAGGGGGAGCCAAUCCCAAAAAGCCGCUCUCAGUUCGGAUUGCAGGCUGCAACUCGCCUGCAUGAAGCCGGAAUCGCUAGUAAUCGCGGAUCAGCAUGCCGCGGUGAAUACGUUCCCGGGCCUU
Molecule: ribosomal RNA, 455 nt
Filed under: uncultured Anoxybacillus sp.
Lineage: Bacteria; Bacillati; Bacillota; Bacilli; Caryophanales; Anoxybacillaceae
Description: bacterial SSU rRNA
Rfam family: Bacterial small subunit ribosomal RNA
Source: RNAcentral